This 418-nucleotide ribosomal RNA is filed under the name Metacrangonyx samanensis. Its description in RNAcentral is "partial 16S ribosomal RNA". The record is from RNAcentral. Lineage: Eukaryota; Metazoa; Arthropoda; Malacostraca; Amphipoda; Metacrangonyctidae.
UAGCAUAAUAAAUUGUUUUUUAAUUGAANACUGGGAUGAAAGGUUUGACAAUUUAUAAGUUUAUUAAAGAUAGGAAAUGAAUUUUUUCUAUAAGUAAAAAUACUUAUAUAUUAUAGAGGGACGAUAAGACCCUAGAAGCUUAUAUUGAUUUAUUUAUAUAAUAAUUAUAUUUAAUCUAUAUAAAUAAUUAUAUUUUGGUUGGGGAAACAGAAAUUAUAAUAAUAAUUUUAUAUUUUAAUUAUACAAAAUUUUAAGAUCUUUUAAAUAAAAAGGAAAGGAUUAAGUUACUCUAGGGAUAACAGCGUAAUAGUUCUGGAUAGACCUUAUAUAUAGAGCUGAUUACGACCUCGAUGUUGAAUUAAAAAAUCUUAUUAAAGUAGAAAUUAAUUUAGAGGGUAUGUUCAACCUUUAAUUUUUU